GAUGAACGCUGGCGGCGUGCCUAAUACAUGCAAGUCGAGCGAACGGACGAGAAGCUUGCUUCUCUGAUGUUAGCGGCGGACGGGUGAGUAACACGUGGAUAACCUACCUAUAAGACUGGGAUAACUUCGGGAAACCGGAGCUAAUACCGGAUAAUAUUUUGAACCGCAUGGUUCAAAAGUGAAAGACGGUCUUGCUGUCACUUAUAGAUGGAUCCGCGCUGCAUUAGCUAGUUGGUAAGGCAACGGCUUACCAAGGCAACGAUGCAUAGCCGACCUGAGAGGGUGAUCGGCCACACUGGAACUGAGACACGGUCCAGACUCCUACGGGAGGCAGCAGUAGGGAAUCUUCCGCAAUGGGCGAAAGCCUGACGGAGCAACGCCGCGUGAGUGAUGAAGGUCUUCGGAUCGUAAAACUCUGUUAUUAGGGAAGAACAUAUGUGUAAGUAACUGUGCACAUCUUGACGGUACCUAAUCAGAAAGCCACGGCUAACUACGUGCCAGCAGCCGCGGUAAUACGUAGGUGGCAAGCGUUAUCCGGAAUUAUUGGGCGUAAAGCGCGCGUAGGCGGUUUUUUAGUCUGAUGUGAAAGCCCACGGCUCAACCGUGGAGGGUCAUUGGAAACUGGAAAACUUGAGUGCAGAAGAGGAAAGUGGAAUUCCAUGUGUAGCGGUGAAAUGCGCAGAGAUAUGGAGGAACACCAGUGGCGAAGGCGACUUUCUGGUCUGUAACUGACGCUGAUGUGCGAAAGCGUGGGGAUCAAACAGGAUUAGAUACCCUGGUAGUCCACGCCGUAAACGAUGAGUGCUAAGUGUUAGGGGGUUUCCGCCCCUUAGUGCUGCAGCUAACGCAUUAAGCACUCCGCCUGGGGAGUACGACCGCAAGGUUGAAACUCAAAGGAAUUGACGGGGACCCGCACAAGCGGUGGAGCAUGUGGUUUAAUUCGAAGCAACGCGAAGAACCUUACCAAAUCUUGACAUCCUUUGACAACUCUAGAGAUAGAGCCUUCCCCUUCGGGGGACAAAGUGACAGGUGGUGCAUGGUUGUCGUCAGCUCGUGUCGUGAGAUGUUGGGUUAAGUCCCGCAACGAGCGCAACCCUUAAGCUUAGUUGCCAUCAUUAAGUUGGGCACUCUAAGUUGACUGCCGGUGACAAACCGGAGGAAGGUGGGGAUGACGUCAAAUCAUCAUGCCCCUUAUGAUUUGGGCUACACACGUGCUACAAUGGACAAUACAAAGGGCAGCGAAACCGCGAGGUCAAGCAAAUCCCAUAAAGUUGUUCUCAGUUCGGAUUGUAGUCUGCAACUCGACUACAUGAAGCUGGAAUCGCUAGUAAUCGUAGAUCAGCAUGCUACGGUGAAUACGUUCCCGGGUCU
RNAcentral lists this ribosomal RNA (1371 nucleotides) under uncultured bacterium. RNAcentral describes it as "bacterial SSU rRNA". It matches the Rfam family "Bacterial small subunit ribosomal RNA", at positions 28 to 1381 of the family's 1533-position model. The record is from RNAcentral.